This is a long non-coding RNA of Triticum aestivum (bread wheat), 1620 nucleotides long. RefSeq lists it as uncharacterized. The record is from RefSeq and is a predicted model, not a curated record. Lineage: Eukaryota; Viridiplantae; Streptophyta; Magnoliopsida; Poales; Poaceae. The transcript has 3 exons.
GAUUCCAUUGUUGACUUAACAGACUAGUCCGUUGUUGAUUCGAUUUCGUAGGCCAUGGAAUGGAGUUGGUGAAGUUGGCGCUCCUACGUCAACUUGGUUAGAGGUCCAAGUUCGAGGGACCUGACGAGAAGGAGGACAAGGAGCACCGGGAACCAAGACCUCGAUAUAGCCAUGGCAGUAGCCGCACCUUCCCCUCCCACAACGUCUUUCUUCUCCUCCCCGCAACAUGCAUCUCUCUCUGUUCGUGGUGUACAAAUUGUUGAUUUUUUUUAUGAUUAGAGUAAGUCAGUAGAAAAGUUUGACACUUGACGAAAUUCCAUGGGGAUUAGGCACAGGAAUCCAUCCCAGGAGAGACGAGAGCAAAGAUGCCUAUAUUGACGAAAUUCUUGAUUGUUGGAUCACGAGGAUCCAGGAUCUCUCUCCACCGCCAAAUCUGACUUGUUGGAUAGCACUUGCACUUGUAUGUACAGACAAAUGAAUCUGCAUCACUUUUUGACCGGCAUCUGAAAACUGAGACGUGCAGACCCAUUUGUAAACAUCACUGAUGCAGAUCUGUUCCUAGUGUAGAUUUGGACACAAUCCCUCUUGACUUUGAGGUUUUUUUCCCAAGUCAUCGCUGCUCUGUUCUAGCCUAUUUUCUAUUCUGGUUGUGAAACCAAACUAUGGUGGUGAGGUCCCUCCUGGGUUUGGUUUACUCUGAGGUCGUGCACCACGAUUCCAGGUUCUUGUGUAGUGGUAUGACGAAAUUCUGUAAUUCAUAUCAUAUCUUGUUCAAUAUGAUGCGUUUAUGGUUGAUGCUCAUGCUCAUGAAUGGUAUUUCAUUUUGCACCUGAUCUAGCUCACUGUUUCCCUAAAAUUGCUACUGGAUAUACAUUGUUUGGUUAGUGCUUCCAUUCUUGGUGGACUAAAUUGGAUGAAGAAAAUGUGUCGAUUUUGUACGGUAAAAAGUUGCUACCUUGCCCUAGAUGUCUACAUUACUAAUUAUGCUCUUUUCAUCUACAAAUAAAUUAUCACACCUCACUGGCCUCUUGUAGGUCAUGUGGUUUUUUGGGAAGACCAAUCCUGCUUUAUAAAUAACUUAUCACACCUCACUGCCCUGUUUAUUUUAUAGCUCACAAUUUGCUGUUGUACAUGCUGAUUGUAGUCAAUCUGUUGGAUGCUUUGACCUAGUUACAUCACAUAUUUUAAAAUUGAUGUGCUAGUCUUUUUCAUAAAUUUGUUGACGGGUUAUUCUUGUAGGCACCAAAAUCUGAUAAUACAUAUGUUUGUGUGGCGUUGGCUGCGUGGUCAUUUGUUACUCGUUUUUCUCCAUGACCCGUUCAGCUUAUGUGUAGUAGGUGUACACGGAAAAAGAGAAAGUUUUUAGGAGAUGAGGAGUUACUGAAGUGCAAGGCCUCGAUGAGUCCAAAUCAACUCAAUGGUUUGCAUCGCAGAUGCCGUCGACGGUGAGCAUACAUGCUGCGGUGGAAGCUCAUUGCAUCUUUUAGGUUCAUGCUUGGUGUGAACUUAGAACUCAUGCUUUCGUUUGUGAACUGUUGUUGCAUAUAUACGUAUGUUGGAUAUGUAUGCAUUUGUGAACUUGGAACUCAUCCUUUCAUUUGUGAACAUAUGUAUGCAUGU